This 72-nucleotide transfer RNA is filed under the name Candidatus Kerfeldbacteria bacterium. RNAcentral describes it as "tRNA-Arg". It matches the Rfam family "tRNA". Rfam says of the family: Transfer RNA (tRNA) molecules are approximately 80 nucleotides in length. Their secondary structure includes four short double-helical elements and three loops (D, anti-codon, and T loops). The record is from RNAcentral. Lineage: Bacteria; Candidatus Kerfeldiibacteriota.
GCCCUUGUAGCUCAACGGAUAGAGCACCAGCCUUCUAAGCUGGCCAUAGAGGUUCAAUUCCUCUCGAGGGCA